RNAcentral lists this transfer RNA (71 nucleotides) under Bos taurus (domestic cattle). It matches the Rfam family "tRNA". From Rfam's summary of the family: Transfer RNA (tRNA) molecules are approximately 80 nucleotides in length. Their secondary structure includes four short double-helical elements and three loops (D, anti-codon, and T loops). Further hydrogen bonds mediate the characteristic L-shaped molecular structure. tRNAs have two regions of fundamental functional importance: the anti-codon, which is responsible for specific mRNA codon recognition, and the 3' end, to which the tRNAs corresponding amino acid is attached (by aminoacyl-tRNA synthetases). tRNAs cope with the degeneracy of the genetic code in two manners: having more than one tRNA (with a specific anti-codon) for a particular amino acid; and 'wobble' base-pairing, i.e. permitting non-standard base-pairing at the 3rd anti-codon position. RNAcentral also lists the same sequence under 4 other names. The record is from Rfam by way of RNAcentral. Lineage: Eukaryota; Metazoa; Chordata; Mammalia; Artiodactyla; Bovidae.
UCCCUGGUGGCUCAGUGGUAAAGAAUCUGCCUGCAGUGCAGGAGAUCCAGGUUUGAUUCCUGGAUUGGGAA